This 746-nucleotide ribosomal RNA is filed under the name cyanobacterium enrichment culture clone 1_16_1.1.1_T7. RNAcentral describes it as "bacterial SSU rRNA". It matches the Rfam family "Bacterial small subunit ribosomal RNA", at positions 9 to 797 of the family's 1533-position model. Lineage: Bacteria; Bacillati; Cyanobacteriota. The record is from RNAcentral.
GAGUUUGAUCCUGGCUCAGGAUGAACGCUGGCGGUAUGCUUAACACAUGCAAGUCGAACGAAAGUCUUCGGAUUUUAGUGGCGGACGGGUGAGUAACGCGUGAGGAUCUGCCUAUAGGUUGGGGACAACAGAUGGAAACGUCUGCUAAUACCCAAUGUGCCGAGAGGUGAAAGCUUUAGUGCCUGUAGAUGAGCUCGCGUCCGAUUAGCUAGUUGGUAGGGUAAAGGCUUACCAAGGCGACGAUCGGUAGCUGGUCUGAGAGGAUGAUCAGCCACACUGGGACUGAGACACGGCCCAGACUCCUACGGGAGGCAGCAGUGGGGAAUUUUCCGCAAUGGGCGAAAGCCUGACGGAGCAAUACCGCGUGCGGGACGAAGGCUUUUGGGUCGUAAACCGCUUUUGUUAGGGAAGAACACAAUGACGGCACCUAACGAAUCAGCAUCGGCUAACUCCGUGCCAGCAGCCGCGGUAAUACGGGGGAUGCAAGCGUUAUCCGGAAUUAUUGGGCGUAAAGCGUCCGCAGGUGGUUUAUCAAGUCUGCUGUCAAAUCGUAGGGCUUAACUCUGUAAAGGCAGUGGAAACUGAGAGACUAGAGUACGGUAGGGGUAGCGGGGAUUCCCAGUGUAGCGGUGAAAUGCGUAGAUAUUGGGAAGAACACCAGCGGCGAAGGCGCGCUACUGGGCCGAAACUGACACUCAUGGACGAAAGCUAGGGGAGCGAAAGGGAUUAGAUACCCCUGUAGUCCU